CCCCACCCCGCCUCCGCCUCCGCCCCCGCCUCGCUGCCGGGUUUAGCGGCAUGUUGCCCGGCCGCCGCUGCCCGACGGUGGAAGAAGCGUGGCGGAGAAGCUGCUGCCGCCCGCCAGGACUGAGUUAGGUGGAAUAAACAACGGUGGCACUGCCCUGCCCUGCUGGUGCGGUUGUCUUUUGGGGAAGAGUUACUUCUAGCAGGUGCUUAAAAACAGCAUGGGAGCAGUGGUUAUGAUGUGCUGAUACUGGCUGCAAUCACGAUGAAAUUUCAGAGUUCAGAUUACCAUGAUCGUCUAUGUACCUCUAUUUCCAUUGAUCUAUCCACUUCACGCCUUGAAUAUGCAUUGAGAUUUAACAAAACUCUCUGACCACACCUGGGUGGAGUUCAUCAGCUGGCUUGGCCCAGCUGAGAAACUGCAAUUUUUCAGAGCCUCAGGGUGAGAAGAUGCAAGAGAGAGCAGGGGCUUGUGGCUUUCUGGGGAGCAAGUGGGAUGACAUCAAGUGGCUUCUGCUACUGUGUGUACUUCAAGCACAAUGCAGCUGUGAACGCCCCAUGCCAGGCCCAGCCCAGAGGUGGAGAAAAGACAAGAUCCUGGUCAAGCGUAAGACAGAAGAGAGACAGAUGUUGGUGGCUAAUAUGGCCUGUUUUCCUCACCCGAGUGACUUCUUUCCCCUUUUCCAACCUUGAAUUCAACAGGAAUGGCAAGUGUGUCUCUCUCAGACAAGUGCAUCUCCCCCUAUUGUCUGCUUGCUCUGCUUGUGCCAGUGGGGAGCCCUGACUGACCAGCUAGUCAGUUUUCUGAGUGCUGCUCAGUUGAGCCUAAUCCCUGUAAUGACCAACGCAGAAUGAAAGUGUUGCUCAUUUACUGUAGGCCUGGUUACUUGGGUGGAAAAGCAUCAAUGCUGGC
RNAcentral lists this long non-coding RNA (909 nucleotides) under Apteryx owenii (little spotted kiwi). RNAcentral describes it as "lncRNA (ENSAOWG00000016971.1)". Lineage: Eukaryota; Metazoa; Chordata; Aves; Apterygiformes; Apterygidae. The record is from RNAcentral.